Molecule: long non-coding RNA, 2036 nt
Filed under: Onthophagus taurus
Lineage: Eukaryota; Metazoa; Arthropoda; Insecta; Coleoptera; Scarabaeidae
Description: uncharacterized LOC111416958, transcript variant X1
Source: RNAcentral
AAGUUUCAUUAAAAAAUUCCUUAAUUAAAGCUAAAAUUUACAUAUUUUUUUAGGUAAAGAAGAUAUUUUUCGAUUUUAACCGGAAAUAAAAUAAAUUGAUCUCGUCGAAACCACAUCGAGACGAAUUCCUGUGGCGCGUGGUUUUUUUGAGGUCGUCCACAGUCCGGAGAAGGUCAACAUUUACGCGAUUGUUGCUUUUUCGUGUUAAGAAGGUAAGAUUCAAAAACAAAUACUUUCUAAUUUUUUUUGAAAUGCUUUAAAAUAACGUUCUAAUAAAUUAUUUCUUUGUUUCAGAUUUGUGGUGUGUCUUAAAUGUUGUCCAGGAUGAUAUAAUUUUGUUCCUGAAAAUAUUGAGGUGUACCAAAUUAAUAUCGAAAGACGUCCGAGACAAUGUUGAGGUGUGCCACAGACAAAAUUGCAAAAUAUCCAGCAUUAUCUUGCAUUUAAUGGAGUCCCCGGCAAUGUUGCGAUGUCAAACCGAAUAAUGAGUUCUGGAACUCUAUUGAAUUAGGGAUGAUUUUGAUAUGCUUCAAUAACUGAGAAGAUCUUGCAGUAUACCAGACUCUCGACGUAUGUCAAAGAAAUGAGAUAUACUAAGAAUGAGAUUAAAUGUUGUCUAGAACAACUGACACUAUCUUGUUGUUAUCACAUGCCCAAUAUAGAGAGGUUUUUCGAUUACCUGACGUUCUUGGUGAUCUCCUCUACCACACUGACUAUAUUUCCUGGUGCUCUGUCACUUUUUCUAAGACUUGGAAGUUUUUUUGCAAUGUUUCAAUGUUGCAAUAAGGUCAAGGUGUUACAAAUAAUAUUGAGAUGUGUCAAGCACAAACAAGGAUGAUUUGAAGAUGUGUCAAGGUUGAUCUUGAGACAUUCCAGGGAAGAUAUUGAGUUAAACGAUGCUAAAAAAUGCUAGAGAUGAUAUUGCAGGAUAUUUAGAACGAUGUUGAGAGUCUGGGACAUUUAUUAUUAUUAUUUACAAUCUGUAACUAUCUUGAGGAGUAGUAGAGAUGGUGGAAACGAUGAUUAAUGUGCAGGGACGAUAUUGAGGUGUCCUAUAGAGGGUAUUUCGAUAUGUCAGAAACAAUCUUAAGAUGUCCCAGAGGUAAUGAGGUGUCCGGCAAUUUUGAAGUGUACUAUAGAAAUGGCAUUGAAUGAUAUCUGCCUUGAAUUGUACCAAAAUGAUUAUGAACGCUAUUUGGGGUGAUGUGGUGCGCCAAGUAUCUAUUUAAAGUGAUUUUAGGUCGAAAAGAUCGCAACAUAACCUCACUUUUUAAUUAAUAACUGCGAAAUUGGUUUGUAUCGGAUAUUAUCUUCAUGUUACACCGCAGCUGGGUCAUCUUUACGCUGAGAUUUAACAAGAUAAGUUCCACGAAAAGAUUUUUCCCCCAAAAAUGUAUCAAAGAAGUUUUUAUGGGUUUUUAUUUUUUUUAUUGGAAAUUUAGAGCGAUUCAUUAAAAUAAAAUCGUCUCACGAAAAGAUUUUUCCCCCAAAAAUGUAUCAAAGAAGUUUUUAUCGAAACAUAACCUCACUUUUUUUUAUUGGAAAUUUGGAGUGAUUCAUUAAAAUAAAAUCAAAAAAACGGCAUUAAUAAAUACUAAACUCAACGUUGAGUCCAAUUAACGAUGAUGUGUCACACUCAUAUUAUAAAAUUGCGAGAAGAUAUUGAGUUGUACCUAUCUGUAACUAUCUUGAGGGGUAAUAGAGAUGCUGGAAAUGAUGUUUAACCAAUAAGUACUUAGACACCCAUGCAAAUACUAACAUUUGCGGUAACAGGCUCUUUUUAACGAUGAAUCAAGAGUCUGACAACGUUAUCUGUCAUGUUGCGAGGUUCACCAUCGAUUGGGCUACCACCAUACCAGCUACCAUCAUACAACGACUUGUGGAAAACAUUUCAAUAAUAAUUAUAAUAAUAAUAAUAAGGUUACACACAAUGCCUAACAGCGAGAUGGGGAAAAUUACGAGAUUGAAGUACGAGGUAUGUAGAAAUCUCGUAGAAAAUACUCAAUCAUUUUCUGUUCCUAUUUUUCAUUUGAAAU